Molecule: ribosomal RNA, 253 nt
Filed under: uncultured bacterium
Lineage: Bacteria
Description: partial 16S ribosomal RNA
Rfam family: Bacterial small subunit ribosomal RNA
Source: RNAcentral
UACAGAGGGUGCGAGCGUUAUUCGGAAUUACUGGGCGUAAAGCGCACGCAGGCGGCUUUGCAAGUCGGGUGUGAAAUCCCCGGGCUCAACCUGGGAACUGCAUCCGAGACUGCAUUGCUAGAGUAUGGGAGAGGGAAGCGGAAUUUCUGGUGUAGCAGUGAAAUGCGUAGAUAUCAGAAGGAACAUCAGUUGCGAAGGCGGCUUCCUGGACCAAUACUGACGAUCAGGUGCGAAAGCGUGGGGAGCAAACAGG